CGGAGAGGGACGGUGUCCUCCAGGACUCCGGGACACAGUGGCGCCUGUGCGGAGAGGGACGGUGUCCUCCAGGACACAGUGGCACCUGUGCGGAGAGGGACGGUGUCCUCCAGGACACAGUGGCGCCUGUGCGGAGAGGGACGGUGUCCUCCAGGACGCAGUGGCGCCUGUGCGGAGGGGGACGGUGUCCUCCAGGACUCCGGGACGCAGUGGCGCCUGUGAGAAGCCUCCAAAGUCUCGAGAAUGUGGUACGUAGGGCCGUAUCUUUGCUACUCGUUGCCCAGUGGUGCUCAGGACCACGUGCCCUCAGGAAGUCCGGCCAAGUGACGCUGGCCGAGAAGCAGUGCUGCCGACGGUGCUGACGUGCGGUACUUAAUGAGAAGUUGCCCGUGUUGUUUUCGCUUUAUUUGUGACGAAACAUUCGCGGUGCACUUCUUUUUCAGUAUCCUAUUCCGCCUGGAAGACGUCUUGGUUCGGGUGCCAAGUUCAGGCAAGGCACAUGGGCCCCUGCAGUACAUGCUGGUCAGGACUUCCCCACCCCGUGUCUUUUCUCCCUCCCUCAAUUUUCCCUGGUUUUUCUUGUGAAAGCUCCCUCUCCCUGCCGUGGGCUUAGCUUGCAUUGACCCUUCCCCACUUCCUCCACCAGCCCGGGCUUUAGUGAAUCUCUUGAUCUCUUCUUUGCCACUGUAAUUGCUUCGAGGAGGGGCCCUUGAUACCACCGGGCCAGUGAGAUGCAAGGAGAUGUUUGCUGGAGCUUCUGGGAAAGAAACUCUCUGUCCCUUUCCUAUGAUAGCUUCAGCUGGGAAUAGAGGGAGCUUCAAUGGAAGUUUUGAAGGUCCCGCAGCCAUCUAAGGACUAAGAGGAGCCCGCUUGGUGCCACACAGACAAGGAAGACGGAGUCUGCAGCAUGAAAGACAUCUCGGAGAGCUGCAGGAGAGUCUGGAUGAUAUCAUUUGAGUCCCUAGAUCAAACCGUGCCUGAAGCUUGCUCUGCCUCUGUACUUUUCAGUUAUGUAAGUCUAUACAUCCCUUACUUUUUAAAGCCAGUUUGAGUUAGAUUUUACCUUAUUUGCCAUACAAACAGAUGACACCACAGUGUGUUUUCCAGCAUGACUGGGAAAACCUGCAUUUUUUUGAUGAUGUAUUUCUCAUGGUUUGCCUGUCUAUCUUCAGCUUCCAGUUUAAGGCAGGGUCUCAGUGAAAGGUGACUUUUCUUGCUGGCUGGGCGUGGUGGCUCACGCCUUUAAUCCCAGCACUUUGGGAGACCGAGGCGGGUAAAUCAUGAGGUCAAGAGUUCAAGAUUAGCCUGGCCAACAUGGUGAAACCUGUCUCUGCUAAAAAAAUACAAAAAAAUUAGCUGGGAAUGGUAGCGCAAUACCUGUAGUCCCAGCUACUUGGGAGGCUGAGGCAGGAGAAUCACUUGAACACAGGAGGUGGAGGUUGCAAGGAGCCAAGAUCGCGACAUUGCACUCCAGCUUGGGCAGCAGAGUGAGACUUCAUCUCAGGGGGGUAAAAAGGUGCCUUUCCUUAUGGAUGUCUGCUUUCAAAACUUGUCCUGGUGAUUUGAUUUAUGGUUGACAAAUGAUGCAGAAUUACUGUGUUUCUGUGUUUUGUAUCCAGUGACGGGUCAUGGGGUCCUCUCCAGCGGCCUGAAGGAUGGUGGGCCCCGAAACUUCUGUGCUGCUUUACUCCCUCGAACCCACCUCCUCCUGGGAGGCCACCCUGCAAGUGAUGGGAACUUGGGGAAGCUAUUGUCCUUUCCUGGUCCCUGCUGUGGCUUUGCUAUAUUUGUCACAGCUUACACACAACUGUCAGUGCUUUAGAACCAAGCCAUGCCUCCAGGGAACCAGGAGCACUUGAGGGAGGGGACAUGGGGUCAGGGUCAUGCAAGGUGCACAGACAGUUGGGUCCACAGAGAGUCGGUGCGGCUCGGUGAUUCGUUUCUCCUAAUUUGCUACCCUCCUGUUCGCAUCUCUGAAGAGGAGGGCUUCCCGGAACUACCGUUUUUGGGUCCAGGACCAUCCCGUUUUCUCUGAAGUGAUGCUCUCCACGAGCAUUGCGGGAUUGAUAGUGGAUGUUCUGAAACCCGUCUGCUCCGAUUAUUGAAUUCUGCCCAUGGAGACUUCCUGGGGCUCUGAAGGAGAGGGAAUCUGGGAUGGGUUUGCUUUAUCCAUGAUGACUGUUCGCCUCUGCUCAGGGUCAGGCCAGCCCUUCCCACAUGCCCCCACCUCCUCCAGGGGCACCCACAUCUGAUGCUUUCAGGCUUAAUUGAGCAUAAGUUUGAUUGGCAGUGUCUUCCUGGCCCUGCCCUCAUGCCCUGACCCUCAGUGUCCCUUCACGCCCAGGUGUGCUGCUGGCGGGGAGGACGUGCUCGUCUCUGGUACCUGAAAAGAAGUUGCCCAUGUUAUUUUCGCUUUAUAUGUGACGAAACAAACAUGGUGCACUUCUUUUUCGGUAUCAAAUCUCUCCUUGAAGAGCCCCCAUCCCUGAUGGGACCCCUGAGCAUGGGACCUGGGGUUCCCACCUCUCUUGGUACGUACAUGGAGAAUUUGUCCCGGCAGCCCCUCGGUGACUCUGCAUGUUGCUGGGCACAGGGACCAUGCUCAGUCCUCGGUCCACGCCCACCUCUCAGAACAGUGCAGUUGGUGAGGCCUCAGUCACAUGCCAGCUCUGCUGCCAGGGAGGCUGGGGAGUUGGCAAAUGCUGUGUUCCCCCAGCAUUUGAGAAGAGUUCAGAUCAUAGCAGCUGAGAAAAUAAAUAAAUAAAUAGGGGCUGGGCACAGUGGCUCACGCCUGUAAUCCCAGCACUUUGGGAGGCCUAGGUGGGAGGAUCACCUGAGGUCUGGAGUUGGAGACCAGCCUGAUCAACAUGGAGAAACCCCAUCUCUGCCAAAAAUACAAAAUUAGCCGGGCAUGGUGGCGCACGCCUGUAAUCCCAGCUACUUGGGAGGCUGAGGCAGGAGAAUCGCUUGAACCUGGGAGGCGGAGGUUGCAGUGAGCCGAGAUCACGCCAUUGCACUCCAGCCUGGGUAACAAGAGCGAAACUGUCUCAAAAAAAAUUAUAUAAAUAAAUAAAUAAAAGGAAGCAGCUGCCACAACAAGAAAAACAGAGAAGCAGCAAAGAUCACCCACCCGAUGCACGGAGGGGACGUGAGGGCGGGCCACCUGCUGGACUGCCGCCCGAACCCCCACAGGAGGACUGACUGGGGCAGCAACAGAGGCAGGAGGCGGUGGGCAGGAGGCGGUGGGAGAGGAUUUAUCAGAGUGGUGAUUGGCUGGAGGCGAAUCCUUCCAGCUCUACUCUUUCCAAGUGCCAAUGCUGCUGUGAGACACGUGCUCCUUGGUCACCAACAGCAGAGAGACGUCGGUGUCUGCCUCCAGUUAGCAGCAGUGAACAGUGGCAGAUGGCAGAACGCACGCCUCCUCGAAGACACGGCUGUCCGGGUGUCCGGUCCCCACGUCCAGUUGGUCCUUGGGCCAUCUUCCUGGAGGAGGGGCCUUGGUCCUGGAAGAGAAGAGAUGUUUUCCCAGUGUAUUCGUUGUGUUUGUGACGGGCCACUCUUGGCCACGCUCUUUUCUGUAUUAAAUUCCACUUGAUGGCAGAGGCUGUUUGAGCUGGGAGCUUUAGUCCGCAGCUCUCUGGGGUGGCUGAUGGGUGUUGCCCAGAGAGCCUGCAUGGCAGCUCCAUGGCCACCUGGUCCUCUGAGCCUCAACAUCCCUCUCCCCUAGGAGGGUUUCCUGGAGCUCUGCCAGCCGGAAUUAGAGGCUGUGGGAUUGCUGUCUGGGCUACACUUUGGUAAGAGGGAGAGGUUGUCUGUGGUUCUUCCCUUUAUUUACAAUGAAAAAUGUGGCGCACUUCUAUUUGAGAAUCAGGUGCCAUCAGCAAAGCCCAGAUCCCACUUCUGGGAGGUGAUGGUAACGGUGGUCCAUUGGUGGCACUGAGACUGUGCUGGCCUCAGCAGAUGCCCUUUGGACAGCGGGCGGCUGUUCCACCCACCCCCUGGGCUCUAUCCUCCCUCCAGAGAUCCUUCCGGUGGCAGAAACACCUUUGGAGAAGCAGCGGCAGUAUUCAUGUCAGGAAAUUUCAUCGAGAAAGGUGGUCCAAGCUGUGGCCUGCACAGGCAACCCAUUUUACUGAUUUGAAUGCCACCCUUCUAAAAGAUGGGGUGCCCACAUCAGGGAAGAUGUAGCUGUGGGAGCAGAAGGCAGGCCACACAGUCUGUACACACAGGCUCAUGGACCCUGAGCCUGAGGACCUCUGGAGGGGCCACUGGUCCUGAGUCCCCCGUGGAAGGGGAAGCAUAGUUGUCCGAUGACAUGACAUGGACAGUUCUCUUUCCACCAGAGCCUCGUCUCCCCUUGAGGAGGGCCUCUGCUCUCUGCUGCUUAUGUCAGGGGAGAGUCACUGUUGCCUCCACCAGCUCAGGUACGUGAGAGGGGGGCCUCGAGGAGAGGUUGAGUCUCCGGUGGUGCCUGUCUCUGUGUGUUAGUCCUUUCCGGCUGUUCCCUUCCAGGAGGACCCCACGGCUCCCAGAAGAGAGACAGGACUGCAGAAGCUGGCCAGGAAGGGUUGGAGGAGGCUGCUGGUGAUAGGUUCACUCGGCGUGUGGCAGAUAGCCCGCAGUGGGUCUCCUAAAGCACUGAAGGCCUCCUUGAGGGACUCGCCGUACAUGGUGUCAAGUUCAGGAACGCGACGUGGGUGUCUGGCAGCCCCUCACCGAGGGUCUGUGCGCAGAUGGUGGAACAGAUGGCCAGCACUUGCCUUUAUUUCUUCUUUUGAGAACUGAGAAGUUAUUGAAUGAAUCACCAUAUAAUCCUGUUUCCUAAGGUAAAUCUAUACGUAAAACGUCAGGUCCUACACCACCAUUUUCUUCUUAAGAAGUGAACACAGAAGUGUGACACAGUUUUCGGGUUUUUAGAAGAAUGUCAAAAUAGACAGUCUUGUCUCUUGAUUCCCAAAGCUUAAACUCUAAAAGAAUAGGGAAAACACCGGAAAGAAAAUUGGCCACUAUGUGAGGAGGGUGGGAGGUUUUAUGAAUACAUGGUAGGCAUGCUGACGUUUUAGUAUGUAACUUAUUUUAAUAUGUUUAUUCUAACAUCAAUUUACUUAAAAAAUAACGGCCAAGGCUGGGCGUGGUGGCUCACGCCUGUAAUCCCAGCACUUUGGGAGGCCAAGGCAGGUGGAUCACCUGGUCAGGAGUUCGAGACCAGCCAGACCAACAUGGUGAAACCCUGUCUCUACCAAAAAUACAAAAUUAGCCGGGCACAGUGGCGCAUGCCUGUAAUCCCAGCUACUUAGGAGGCUGAGGCCCAAGAAUUGCUUGAACCUGGGAGGCGGAGGUUGCAGUGAGUUGAGAUGGCGCCACUGCACUCCAGUAUCUCAAAACAAACCAACAACAGCAAAGAAAUGGCAAAUGUCUGUUGGCUUGGGAAAGUUAGAAUUUCUGGAUUUUCCCAGAAAGGGAGACUGCAGGUCUCUGAUCAGCCUUCAGACCUGGCGUCCCGUCUCCUGCCUGAUGGGUGCGGAGUUCCCCAGACUCCCCAGGGCGUGAUGCCUGGCUUAGCUUUAUCUUUCUUUUUCUGACAGAGUUUUUGCUCUUGUUGCCCAGCCUGGGUACCCUAGCCAGGCCCCUCAGGGAGGAACGGCAGCCCCUCAGAAGACACAGCGUGUGGGCUGACCUUUCUCCCAGCACGUGGCAAGCAGAGUUCCGUAACUGGCUGCUGCACCUAUCCCAGCUCUUCCAGGCUGCCUGUGUUUCAAUGACCAAAGUAAGACCCCCAAGCCCUGCCAGGAGCUGCUCUUCAACCGCGUGUCCUCCUCAUUCAGGGCCAUCCCAGCGAGGUCUACUCCUGGGGACGUGAAUGAUGUCUGGUCACAAAGAAUAUAUGUUUAUGACUCAGACCGUCCAAUUCCCUAACCAGCCACGUCCCACUGGUUCUCAACAGGGCCUCGUAGAGGCAGCCCCCACCUGGGGGAAGUGGCCUUGCUCCGGCUGGCACGUGCUUGUCCAUAUAGAUUGUCUAUAUAGAUUCGCCGUAUUUAUGACAAAUUGUGCUUGGGGGCUUCGGGGGAGGCUCAGCAAGCUGUGACUGCAGGGGACGGACUGGCUGAUGGCACACAGUGGUGUUAUCUGGGCCGCUCGUGAUUCGCUUGCCCAUAGGAGGAAUGCCUAACUCUGCAAGUGUGAGAGGUCGUGCUUUUCAAGUCCGAGAUUUUUUUGAAGCAAUACCAGCUUUAGAGAAUUGAGACUGGUGUAGGUGUGUGGAGUGUGGAUGGGGGGUUGGCCGUGGCGCAUACACUUUCCUUGUGGAGAAUGUCACCCGGUCCUCAGUACUGAAUCUGUUUUUGGGGGCUCCCUGGAGUGAUGGCAUCCCUGUGGGAAAGGGUUUGAGUCUGGGUCAUCAGGGGUUUGCUUUUGCUUUGGGAGGUAUGUCACUAUCUAGUAAGCCUCUACAUCCAGCCCACCCCAAAAAUGAUUUUUCUGGAAGCUGCCAUAAUUGUUUUUGGAGGGUGGCAGUGGUAGGGGCUGGUGGACACCGUUUUGCUGUCUCUCUGUUGUAUUUAAAGAGACAUUGUUUUUCACCUGUUUGCCUAUUCCUCAGUCUGUCACACCGACAUGAUCAGUUCUGCUGAUUGAAAGUUCCUGAACACAAGCUUCACUUUCUAGAAGAUUCUUGGAGAUCCUCCUCCCUCCAAGAAAUAAAUACUACUUUGGAAAUGCUCUUGACCGUGAAAUCUCCAUUAGGGAAGAGACAUUAGGGUUACCUCCACCAGGGCGAGUGACAGCAGGCAGACCCCAAAGCUGCUGUGCCUGCGUAGGAGGUCCAUCUCUGGAUGUGAAGAAGCCGGGGCGGGCCCUGCGCUUCCCACACGAGACUCACAACGUGUUCACCUGCUUCCGUCACUUUCUGUCUUCGGUGAAUUGUGUUUGGGUUUGUGCUCUCCAGGUGUGCUCCAACUUUUCGCCUCUAAAAGGUGGAUGUUCCUUCUAUGCUUACAGGAUUGAUGGUUAAUCAUAGAGGAAAAUCCGCAUUUUCAGAAUCUAAAGUUGCUUUGAAAACAUUUCUGAACAUUUCUGAGAGAAAGGUUAGCUCCCACCCCCCACCCCUGCAGAGAGUGAUGGAAGGUGAAUCCCAGAACCUAAGCUCUUGUUAACAAAGUCUGUCCUGGGACACGGGUCCUCCGCAGGGCUCAUGUCACUGCCACCAACCCAGGAGGCCCCUGCCGACUGCACCUGUCCUGUGCUGUCUUUAAUCUUGAUAGAUGGUGCUUAGGUUCAUGCUUUCCAGGACUCAAUCCUUCUUUGGUAUUUAAAAGGUGGAUAUUCCUUCUAUGUUUAUGUUGUUUGUGGUUAAACAUAGAGGAAAUUCCACGUUUUCAGUAUCAAAUGCUGCUUGGAAACAUUCCUGGACUGAAACCACCAUCAGGGAAGAGACAGUAAAGUUACCCCCCUCCAGGGUAAGUGGAAAGUCAGUGGACCCCAGAACAUGUGCUGAAUUUGUGCCAUGUCUGUGGACCACCCGCCUGUCUUGAGGAGACCCCUGUCACGAGCCGCCCGCCCAGCCGAGCGGCUGAGCUCUGUCAUCAGUCUCUCCAUGGCGGCCAAACGCUCUGUCGUCAGCCUCUCCAUGGCGGCCAAAUGCUCUGUCGUCAGCCUCUCCAUGGCGGCCAGAUGCUCUCCUCUGUGCUAUGACUUUGUGUGUACAUAGGUUCGUGCUUUCUGGGAUGAGAACUUCUUUGGUAUUUAAAAGGUAGAUUUUCCUUCUAUGGUUACGUGUUUGGUGGUUAAUCAUAGAGGAAAAUCCACGUUUUCAGUAUCAAAUGCUGCCUUGGGAACAUGGCUGGACUGAAAUCACCAUCAGGGAAGCGAGGCGGGGCUGAGCCCUCCUGGGUAAGUGGAAAGGUGGUGGACCGCAGAACAUGUGCUGAGUUCGUGCCAUAUGUCUGCUGACCAUCACCUUUAGAAGCCCCCUUUCGCUGAGGAGCCAGCUUGGCGCACAGGCCGUGGAGCGCUGUGACGGCCACGCCACGGGACUGAGAACGAGUUGCUUUGCUGUCUUGCUUCCAUUUUCCAUGAACUGCUCUCAGAUGUGUCCUUUCCAGAGCCCAGUCCUUCUUUGGUAUUUAAAACGUGGAUAUUCCUUCUAUGUUUACGUGAUUCUUGGUUAAUCAUAGAGGAAAAUCCAUGUUUUCAGUAUCAAAUGCUGCUUUGGAAGUGUUUCCUGAAGAAACUGUAGGGCCUGAGUGGGUGCAGAGAUGGUGGGCUGCACGACCCGCCCAGAACCAUCUUGAGACACCAGCGAACAUGGUGAAGAUGAAAUUGUGGGUCCUGCGGUUCCAGUUCUUUCGUGGAAGCUCGUCUGCCCCAUGGGACUUCACUUCUGAUGACUCAAGCACAGGUGUGCGUUUUCCUGGAUGGAAGCCUUCUUUGGUAUUUAAAAGGUAGAUUCUCCUUCUAUGAGUACAUUAUUUAUGAUUAAUCAUAGAGGAAAAUCCACGUUUUCAGUAUCAAAUGCUGCUUUGAAAACCUCGGAGGACGUGAAGUUGCCAUGGAAGAGGGGACGCUCUCUGUACCCCUCCCGGGGACAGGACGGACGGGCACAGAACUGUACUUUGUGUGAAAUGCGCCGUCAGCUUCUCUGCUGUUCCCUCUCAACCCUCAACACAUACAUAAUGUGUUGUUACAAGACUGUGUUCUCAGUAUCACCUCGCUGACCUUGAACAAAGUAUGUUCUCUGUGUGUUUAACCAUGUUUGCGAUGCGUUUUCUGGAACGAACCUCUUUUUCUGUGACUAGUUGUGCCUUAGAGAAUACCCGAGUGGGCUGUCAGUUUCAGGAAGGGGCACAGCUUCAGGGGCUAUGGAAAGAAUAGAUGUGCCGUUCACACCCUGGUGUGCGCUCCCACCCUGCGAUCCCCUCUGUGUAUCUCAGGCUUGCUCCUGGAGCUGGUGCCAACUUAGUCACAGUGAAGAUGGCUCUCCUGUCACGGCCGUCAUUUGCUGCUUGAGGAGAGGUAAUCCCUCAUGCAUUUGCUUGACUUGCAAUGGUUAUACAAGGGCAAACUCUCUCUGGGGAGCAAAUCCUGCCUGGGAAGGCUUUUUGGGAACAAGGCUGACUCUGGCAGUCAACAGAACUCACUCCUCUGUCCUACAGAGACCGCUGCCACUGUUGAUGAGAAUAAGAAAGCUCUGUUUUUUUUCUAAAAAAAAAAAAAAAAAAAAAAGAUGGCCAGGAUAGCCCUGGGGUGCGGAUGGCUGACCGCAGGGCAUGUGCCUCUUUCUUGCUGUUUGUGACCUGGUUCUCUGACCCUCCUCAUCUCAUGCGUCCUUCCAAGAACUUUCUGGAAGAGAUGGUGACUUUGGAGCUGAUGUAGGGUUUUCUUUUCAGAGUACCCAUUCUGCUCAGAAAAAAGGGCCUCCCUUGGCCGGGCACGGUGGCUCAUGCUUAUAAUCGUAGCACUUUGGGAGGCUGAGACUGUGGAUUGCUUAAGCCUGGGAGUUCAAAAGUAGCCUGGGCAACUUGGAAAAACCCGGUCUCUGCAAAAAAAUACAAACAUUAGCCAGGCGUCAUGGUGUGCGCCUGUGAUUCCUGUACUCAGGAGGCUGAGGCUGGAGGAUCACUUGAGUCUGGGAGUCAGGAGGUAGCAGUAAGCUGAGAUCAUGCCACUGCACUUCAGCCUGGCUGACAGAGUGAGACCCCUGUCUCAAGAAAUAGAUAAAAAAAAAAAACAAGCAAGAACAAAGGGCCUCCCUUGAUGGGCCCUGCUCAUCACAAAGCACCCGUGGGCUGCUGCUCUGGCAGGUCUGCCGAGGCAUGAGGCCAGCCUCUGGGAAGAGGUCUUGGGGCUAGUGCCUCUCCCAGACACAGGAAAGAAUGGUCAUCGGCCAAGUCAGUGCAGAGUUUAGGUGUGGGUCAUCUGGUCUACCCACUCUCUGUACCCAGCCCAUCCUUGGAGGGACUUUUGGACCUCACUGUCCAGUUGAGGGAAGACCAGUCCACAGGAAGGAGGCCCCAGAGCGCCCAGUGUGGCUGCAGGACCUGCUGCUGGGACCUCUAAGCCUCACUGCUCUCUCUGCAUGGGUGUUCUUUAGGGACCCCUGCCGAUGGGAAGACCCUUGGAUUCCCGAUGUUAGUAUCUGUUCACUCAGAAAGCGUUGGCCCCUGAGAGUCUCAUUUUCUUUUGGAAAAUCUUGCCCUAGAUGAAAACUUUUGAGUGAUGAGUAGCUGCUCAGGUGGCUUUCUGAAUACAGUGCCAAAUUCAGGAGAAAGGACACCUGUCAUAGUGCUGUCUUGUGAUUUGCAAAUGGGUGGCUGAUCACGGAGCGUGUUGGACUUCUGUUUCUCCUUUUUCUAUAAUGAUGCAUGUUAUUGCAUCUUCUAACCUCCCUUAGCCAGUGUUCACCAGGAGGACUUCCUGGAGGCAAUGGCUUUGGGCAGAGGCAGAGGUUGUUCUCCCAGGGUGUUUCUGCAGGCCCUAAAGGGAUUUCGGCUGUUUUACAUUUACGUUAUUUCAAAUGGUACAGGAUUGCCUGUUUUUGGUAGCCAAUCCUGUCGAAAAGACAUGCUGGGAAAUAAAGCCAACUGUAUGGCUGAAACACCAGCGUGCAAGGUGCAGGGCCCAGCUCUAGGUCAGCCGGAUAAGGCUGGUCACUGGGCCCUCCCUCGCGGUCUCAGGCCUCGCAGGAGGACAUGCCCACUCUGGCGAAGACCCGGCGCGGUCCUUCCCUGCUCUUUGAACAACUGUCUGAGCCACUCUUUGGUACUUGAAGAGAGGAUACCCUUGUGUGUUCACUUGAUUAAUGGCGAAUAUACGGGGGAGACUCUUCUUUGCGUAUCAAACUCUGUCGGGGAAGGCGCUUGGACCCCGCUCGUCUGCAGGACAAAGCCGCGAAUCUCAGCUCCUCUCAGGUACGGCCUGGCUUCCCUGUCCGGGAACGUGAGCUUGGCUGUGAUCCUGGCUCUUGGGUUCUGCCUCCGCCCUCAGUGCUGGUUCUUCUUGUGGACUCCCUGGAGGCAGUGGGAGAGGAGGGUUUUUCUGUGCACACCGACUUUAUGGUGGUUUGCUUACUUAAGGAUAAAACACACGUGGAUCUGCCUCUCCUCGACACCAAGUCAUACCCGGGAGGCUCCCUGCUUCCAGCACACACCUUGUACCUCUCUGGACACGUGGAUGGGUGGUGGAUGGUGGAGCACCGAGCUGUGCUGAGCUGAUGCCGCUACUCACUUGCUGCUCCCCCGAGCUACCACUCCCUGGCAGUCUCCAUCCCUGAGAGAGUGUCAGCCUUGAGGGAGGGACGUGGAUGUCAGGCUGUUCUAAGGCAAGUGACUGGCAGAGCUUCUUUCCUGUGUCCUCUGGGACUGUCGCUGAACUCCAGCGGCCAGUCCUUGGAGCACAUUGUCCGGUGGAGGCGCACCUGAGUGUGCCUCGGGUGGGUGGCAGUGUUUGGUCUUCAGGACUGCUUUGUCCCUAGAGUCUGACACUGGGGCCCUCUUUUUGUCUGUUUCGAGGCAGGUACGGGGACAUAUUCUUGGAUCUGGUCAUCUCGGAGACCACCAGCCUCAGAGGAGAGACAGUGUCUCAGCACUCUUCAGCUCUGGGAAUGCCUGCAGAUGCCUUCUUCUCUGGCAAGUCCAUGUCUUCUGGGCUAAGCCCUCGCAGCCUGUGCCCCCACGGAGGUGAUGGCUCCACUGUCCAUGCAGCCUGUGGGUAUUUGAAGCAGGUUCACCCAUGCAUGCUGAGUGCAUUGAUGGUCAUGCCCACUCGCUCCCUUGUUUAGAAGCCAAUCUCGCCUGCAGGGAAUCCUGGAUGUGCCACCUCUCAGGGCCAGGCCACAGCGUGCAAGGUGCAGGGCCCAGCUCUAGGUCAGCCGGAUGAGGCUGGUCACCGGGCCCCUCCCUCACGGUCUCAGGCCUCGCAGGAGGACAUGCCCACUCUGGCGAAGACCCGGCGCAGUCCUUCCCUGCUCUUUGAACAACUGUCUGAGCCACUCUUUGGUACUUGAAGAGAGGAUACCCUUGUGUGUUCACUUGAUUAAUGGCGAAUAUACGGGGGAGACUCUUCUUUGCGUAUCAAACUCUGUCGGGGAAGGCGCUCAGACCCCGCUCGUCUGCAGGACAAAGCCGUGGAUCUCAGCUCCUCUCAGGUAUGGCCUGGCUUCCCUGUCCGGAACGUGAACUUGGCUGUGACGCUGCUCCUGGGUUUUGCCUCCGCCCUCAGUGCUGGUUCUUCUUGUGGACUCCCUGGAGACACUGGGAGAGGAGGGAUUAUUUCGUGUGCACCGAGUUUAAUCGUGGUUUGCUUUGCUAAGGAUAAAUCACAUGUGGAUCUGCCUCUUGUGGGCACCAGGUCAUAUCCAGGAGGCUUUCUUAUCCUCAGCCUUAGAAGGAGACCUGGCUUUAGCACCAUUUCAAGGGUAACACAGGAGUGGGGGUGGACCACAGAGCACUGGCUUUGUCUAUGCUGUUUUUGAUCCUGGUAGGCCAUCUCCAGGAGGGCUUCCUGGGGGUGGUGUUGACCUUGGGGAAGGGGCUGAGGUGUGCUCAUCGGUGCUCAUCAUGAUGCUUGAGUGUUCAUGGUCCAGCUUGCAGUUCCCAGGCUGAAACUGUAAGAGUGGUUUGUUUCUGUUUGUCAUUUGUGAUCACCCAUGAAGGCACCGCUGGGGAUGAGCCCUAGGAGCUGUCAGCCCUGCACCAGGUGCGUGAAUGUGGGAGGUCAGAGGGCACCUCCUUCUGCCUCCAUGUCUGUGCCCUCCCCUCUGACUGCUGGAUUUCUGCUCACACCUAGGAUGGCAGCCUGGGAAAGGGGCUGUGGUUCUGUGUUUGUGGAGACACUCCCUGGGGCGAGGGCUGCCAGCUUUUUACACCCUGAUUGCCAUGGGGGUCAUCUGGAACCGAGGCCAGUUUCAGGAAGGGCCUUCGCAGAAGCCUCAGCCCUAGAAAAGUGAAUGCCCUGCUGGAGACAGGUGAGCACCAUGCCUGGGUAAUGAGUCCCACCACCUGCCACCUGGACCAGGUGGCUCCCACUCCUCCCCACUUCUAGAGGGAGAGGCCACUGAGGGGAAAGGACUGUGGGUUGGCUUCCUCAGUUACUCAGGGGUACAUGGUUUUGAUGAAUGUUGACCAUGAGCUCUUUCUUAGCCUGGCUUCAGGACAGGGUGCCAGCCUCUGGCAAGGGUGGGGCAAGGGCUGGCAUGGGGAGUGACACUGGUGUCAACGCCUCUGUGAGAUGGGUGAAGGAAUGGUGACCACAGGGUCUUUGCUUCAUCAGGGGCAUAAAUUCAUCCAAUCUCUGGACCUCGGUGCUGAGUGCAUCUGUAGGAAAACUUCCUGGAGAGGUGCCCACACUGGGGAGGAGAUCGUAGUCCCACCCCAGGGAGUUCCCGUAGAAAGUGAGAAGCUGAGUUCUGUGUGUGCCCAGGAAGGCCCGUGGGAUGGCUCUCCUUUUCAGGAACAAGUCCUAAUCUGGAGUGAUGCCUGGAAAUGAGGCUGAUUCUAGUGAAGGGGGGCUGGCAUCUGCCCCUUCCUAGACCCCCUGGGAUGGAGAGCUGACCGGUGGGCACACAGCCAGCAGGCGGUGUUUGCCACCUGGUCUGCUGAUCCUGCGUCUCCCACCUCCCCCACCCAGGAUGAACCCCGGGAGACAAGGCCGGCCCCGUGAAUGAUAGCAAGGAACCUGCCCAGUGCUCUUGUUUGGUACUUAAAGCGAGGUUGCCCUUUGUAUAUUCGGUUUAUUGACAUGCAAUAUACAAGGGCAAGCUCUCUGUGAGUAUCAAACCUUGUCUUGGACCCAGCCCACACUCAGCAAGGGAUGCGGUAUGUGUGUGCAUGACCGUGUGUAUCCGUUUUGUGUGUGGCAAAUCGCUCACGGGUCCCCACGUCACAGAGAGGACUUCACAGGCACAUGAGAGACUUUAGGGAAGGCAGUGGCCUCUGGGACAUCUCCUUUCCUGGUUAAGUGUGGGUGGGCUGAAAGCAUGUACGACAUGUGUGGUCUGGGUCCCUGCUUCCUGAGCGGGCAGUCACCAGCCUGGGCUGAUGGCCGGGGUGGUGCCGGUGCAGGCAGUGGCUUUGCGGUCCCCGCUGGUACUCGGUAUGUGAGUGUGCAUGUUCUGCUUGGGGUGUGUGACCCGGUCCACUAACCCUCAGCAUCUAAUUCAUCCCCAGGACCGUGCCUUGAAGACAUACCAAGUCCACCCAAGGCAGCGGCUUUCCUUUCCGUGCUAACCUUUGGUACUUGGAGAGUGGUUAUCCCUGUCCUGUUCGUUUUGCUCAUGUCGAAUCGUACAGGGUCAUCCACUUUUUCAGUAUCAAGAGCGCAGACUCUGGAGCCCGAUUUCCUGUGUUUGGAUCCCACCUCUGACAUUUACUAACCGUGCGACCUUGGGCAAGGAUCUCAUCGUGCGGUGCCUGUGGUCUCACAUGUCAAGGGGAGUCACAUCGGCGUCUACCUCAUGGGGCUGCCGGGGCUGAACCAGUUAAGACUUGUACAUGGCUGGGAGCAGAGCCCGGUGGUCAGCGCUUCGCAGGCGUAGCCAGACCCUUGUGUGCUGUGACACUGUCAUUGGUGGUGGUGGUGGUGGUCUGACCACUAAAAUCUCUCCUUGAGGUGUUGGAACAAUGUCAAGACAGGGAGGUCAAGUCCUUCGUCCGGUGUGGAACGGACUGUGAAGCCCCGAGCGUGCACCGUGUUGAUGAUGGGCAUGGUGACACUCUUGAUGCUUGGCAGCUAAGCUGUUCUCAUGAUGGCUUUCGAAACACAAUGCCACAUGCAGUCGGGGUCAGCAGGGGUGCCGAGAGCAUUUUCUCUGUUUAAGAGAGACAGUCCCUGGAUUCUUGACCUCGGCCGCUAUCCACAUGUUUAAGGACUCUUGAGCGAGGAUGCCAAGCUGAAUGAGGAUUCUCUGACAUCUUGCUUCCCUGGUGCUUAAAGAGAAGGUCACACGUGGUGCACGCAUUGUGCCUGCCUGUGUGUGUGUGCGCACGUGCUGUGUGUGCAUGAGCGCAUGCGUGACUGGGUUUGCCACGUAGCAGUCACCAUCCAACCUUGAGCCGAAGACCUGGAGGUGCUGGUGUUCCCGUCCGUGCCGCUGUUUCAUACCUGAGGAGAAAUUAUCCUUGAUGUGUUCGCUUUAUUUAUGAUGAAUCAUACAAGGACAAUUUCUCUUUGAGUAUCAAAUCCUGCCUCGGCAGACUUCCUGGACGCCAUGACAAGUCUCUAAAGGGAUGCACGCAUCAGCCCUUCCCAGGGAUCCACGCGUGGGUGGGGAUGAGGGUGCGUGCAGUUGGUUUGCGCUGGGGACACUUGUGCCCUAACCUCAGAACCUCGGAGGCGGGACCAGCUUGGCAAGCGGCCACCGGGCUCCUUGGUGCUGCCAGGGAUUUGUAUUGGCCAUGGGUGUGUGUUGUGGGUGACCCAGCGUUCAGGCGACUUAUCAAAUCCUGCUUCUUGGAGGCACUUCUUGGACAUGAAGCCAAGCUUAGGGGCCGAUCAUUGGGGCCAGACCCCCUUUCCCUGCCUGAGAGUGUGCCCGACCCCCAGGCGUGGGCUUGACUCUCAGUGUGUGAAGCUGACCUGCUAAUCCUCAUUGUCUGGACUACCUGAGAAGAACUUUCUGGAAGAGACGCCAACUUUGGAGAAUAUGCCCAGCUCUUCUUGAAGGCGCUGUUCUUUGGUGCUUAAAGAAUGGCUGUCCGUGGUAUGGUCUCUCUAUUUAUGAUGAUUAAUAUCGGACAACCAUUGUUUUAGUAUCCAAAUUUGCUUCAGAAAUUUUUGAAAGCACAGUGCUGACUUCAGCGAGGGGACGUCGGUGCCUGCCCCACCAUGGAGUGUGACUGUAUUGCUGACCUGUAAUCAUGAAUCCGGUGACCCCAGAAUGCAAGCCACCAGUGUGUUUCCUUGGACUAAUGCUAGCUUUGGGGUGGAGAUGCCACUUAGGGGCUUGGUGCCAUAUCGUUUUAUUGGAAGAUGUUCACAAUUAUUUCAUCUGUCUUUCUCUUCUUGUUAUUAAAUCUUAGCCAAGAGGAAUUCCUUGGAGAGAUGCCAGGGUCAAACAUCUUUCUAGAUGGAUGGUGGACCUGGGCAUCUAGGUCCAGUCUCUCCCAUCUUUAGCCUUCAUUCUGAGCGUGAGAGACUUCCUGUAGGGGAUGCAAACGUUAGUAAAAACGCAGGACUUUUCCUGUUACUGCUACUGCUUUUUGGUAGCUCCUAAGCAGCUGCCUGUUGGGUGUUGGGAUUAUUCUUGGCGGAUGGCUUCGUGACUUCCUUGGGAGCUGCCAUAUCUUAGACAGACUCUCAUGGAGUAAGUUGUGAUGGACAGCACCUCUGGCGUGUGUGUGUGUGUGUGUGUGCGCGCGCACAGGCGUGCAUAUGAAUUGUUGGCUAGAGUAGUGUUUCUCAGACUUUAAAAAUGCUCCUAAGAUUUUCAUCACCUAGGGAUCUUGUUAAAAAGCAGAUUCUGAUUCAGGGACCAAGAUUCUGCAUUUUUAGCAAGUUCUCAAGUGAUGCUAAUGCCGCCGGUCUGUGGACUUCCCUCGCAGCGGUUCAGGGCUGGAGAGCAGGCGCUUCCCUUGUGAGGCGUGUCCCCUGUCUCCCCACACGCCAUAUGCCGUCCUUCACGAGAGCAUGGCUCAGCAUCAACCUGCCGCGCUUCUGUUUGUGAACAAAGGUUAUCUGUGACGGGCUCACCUUCACAUGCAUAAGUAUCAUGAGAUGAUUCUUUUUUAAAAUCAAAUCAUGCCUCAAAGGGCUUCCUGGAUACAGGACCUGCCUCAGGGAGGGGCCGAUGGUGUCGACCUACUGCAGGGAGUGUCGGGUGUGAGUCAACAGUGAGCUUAGCAUUAUUGAUGUCCUGGGAAUCCUGUGACCCUCCACUUCCAGGCAGUCCUCGGGAGGAAAUUCCAGGAACUGAGACCAUCUUUGAGGUAGGGACCCUGUCUUCAGGGAUCAGUGACACCCCGUUUUAUCGGAAGCAGAAUUCUUCAUGAUGGCCCUGCUGUCUCUGACGUGUGUUUGUCUGCUGCCUUCUCGUCAUCGAAUCCCAUCUUUCGGGAACCCCUGGAGGCGGCUUUUCUAUCGUUUUAACAGAACCUGCCUUAGAAGUCUUUCUGAGCAUGGUUCCAAUGGCAGACUUUGGAUUUCGGUGUCGGAGCCGUCCGGGCUCUGAGACUGACGUGUGGGAAGGGAUGGCUGACGCCAGCUCCUGUGCUUUCUCUGCAGGAUGCGAGCACCUCCCUCCCAACCCUGGGAUUCAGCUCAUCCUGAGAAGAAUCUCCUGGAGGCAAAGACAGCGGUGGGGAAGAGGCCCUGGUUUCGUUUGAGAACUAUUCGAGGAUAUUUGAGGAGAGGUUAUCCGUGUUAUGUUCGCUUCAUUCGUCAUGAAUAAUACAUGGUUAACCUCUUUUUGAAUAUCAGACUCUGCCUCGGAGGCCACCCCACAGGAGACGUGAGAGUGUGUGCCUUGUGUGAGCUGAGAGCCCCCGCCCCGGCUCCGCGCUCCGGCAGGGAAGCUUCCUGGAAGUGAGGCCGGUGGGGGGAAGAGCCCUGGGUUGCUUUGCUGUGUUUGCUGUGAACGCGAUGUGCUUUCGCUAUUUAAAUGAGGUGGCCUCCUCUUUGCCAACCUGUGCCUACCCCCAGCAGCUGGGCCUGCAGCCUAGCUACAGGGCUAGGUCCCGCCUUGGGAUGGACCCUCUGGACCCAGUGCUUUCAGGGUGGCUUUCUGGGGUGAGGACAGGGUUUACUGCUCCACUGGGACACCUGUGGAGAGGUGACUUCCUCCAUGUGGACUCCUCUGAGGACAGUCUGUUUUCCAGGCUUGGAUCUGGCCCGGGGUGGCUCCCUGGGUGAAGCUAACACCUCCGCAGGUGUGCGCAGGGCAGGCUGACUUGGGCUCUGUUCCUGCUCCUCACCCAGGUUACUGGCCCAGUGCCCACUUCCUCCUCAAGUCAGCUUCCUGAGGCUCUGCCAGCCGGCCUGGUGGGGUCUCCUGUUCCUCUGCUUGGCGCUCAAAGACACUGGCACAGUGCCAGGUUCCCUUUGCUCCCUCCUGAGGGAGACCACGCAGCUAAUGACUCUGGCUCUGUGCUGCUGCCUCGGAGGGCUUCCUGCACUCAGCACCCAGUUUGGGAGGAGAACAUGGACUCUAGCAUAUCCCCCGGUGAUGGAGAAGGGAGGCUGUCCCUGAUCCCCAGUGUGGUGGAUGAUAUGGUUUGGCGAUGUCCCCACCCAAAUCUCGUCUUGAAUUCCCAUGUGUUGUGGGAGGGUCCUGGUGGGAGGUAAUUGAAUCAUGGGAGCGGGUCUCUCCCGUGAUAGUGAAUAAGUCUCACGCGAUCUGAUGGUUUAUAAGGGGGAGUUUCCCUGCACAAGCUCUCUCUCUGCCUGCUGCCAUCACGUAAGCCUGACUUGCUCCUCCUCACCUUCUGCCAUGACUGAGGCCUCCCCAACCACGUGGAACUGUGAGUCUGAUUAAACCUCUUUCUUUUGUAAAUUACCCCAUCUCGGGUAUGUCUUUAUCAGCAGCAUGAAAACGGUCUAAGAAAGUGGAGGACCGUGGCGCCAGGCUCCGGCCCCUUCAGGAUGUGGUCCCUGUGUGGGACAGCCUCCCGGAGCGGCUAUAAAACCUUACUGCCCUCUGCCUCGAUGGCUUUGUCCUACCUGAGGAGGCCAGCGUGCUGGGGUCCCUGCGUGGAGUCAGUUCAGGAUGGAUGCCGCAGGUGCUAGCUUUACAGUAAGAAAACUGUCAGCUUCGCCUGACGUAUAUGCACAGAGGUGACGCAGGGACGUGAACUUUGUGAAUGAAUGUGCUCCCUGCACCACUGACCCAGAGAAUUCAUCCCGCCCUCAGGAGAAGCCCGGGAGGUGCUGCAGGCUCUGGCCGGGGGCGGAGGCCGCUGUCCUUAGUGUCGUGGCGUAGGGCUUGCUGAGGAACCGACAGAGUGCUCCUGUGUUGUUUGUGACUAAGACCACACAUUCCUGUGCGGUGGGAGAAUGUGUGGGGGUGUCCCACAGCCAGAGUGGAGACUUGUGUCGGCACCAUGAUGAGGUACCUGGGAAGGGUCUGCUGACGAUGCCCAGUGUCUGCUGGUCUGAGCAGCUCGUCCUCGGAGGACUUCUGGGCAAGACUAUUUCAGUGCUCAGCCCCACUCCGUGUCCCAGGAAGAGGGAGGGCUGGAUUGAUGAUACCUAUUAAAUGGCCCAUAAGUUCUCAUCAUCCAUGCAGCCUGCCUGUGAGGGCCCCCACAGAAGGGAGGGCAACUCCAGGGAAGGGAUCCUGCCAUCAGCUCCAGGUCACAGUCCAGGAGGUGCUGCUGGGCCAGAGGCCAAAGGGCAAACUGUCGAGCCAGGUCACAGGCUUCCCUUGUCCUUGACCCUCAGUAUCCAGGCUACUUACAAGAGGAGGCAGGGGGACUCCUCUGCCUCACCUGGAGAGGUCUUGUCCACAGCAGGUUCCCUCAACAAUGCUUCCUCUGUUACAAAUGCAACUCAGCAUCUCCUUCCUGGACAUAAUUGCAAGGAAUUAUUAAAGGGGACAUUGGUGUCAGUGCCUCCCCAAAUACUUGAAAGAAUGGCCCAUGGCAGAGCCUGUGCUUUCAUUAGGAGUAAGCCUCACAGUCCCCCAAGCUGUGGCCUCCAGGUUCUGGAGGCCUCGGGGGCAGAGCAGCGCCGAGGCUGACCUUGGGGCCUUGCCUGGGUUUGUGGCUCAUCAUGUUGGACUGCUGUUUUUCAGGACAGACUUCCUGGACAGGUUCCUCAGCAGGACUCUGACCUAGGGACAGGGCCCUGUACGUGAUAGGGGAAUGGAUGGUUGAUCAGAGAACGUGCAUUUUACAAACGAUGCAUGUCAACUGAUCCACAGUCCCUACCUAUCCAGUGACUUCUCUGGAGGCCACAUCAGCCCGGAAGAAGAGGUGGUGGUUUCCUGGGUGGUACUGUUAUCUGGCACUUGCAAGGACCUUCUCCUUGCUGGGUUUGCUUUCUCUGUGCUGAGUCUCAUGAGGGAGGGCAGGUGCCUUUUUUGCAUAUGGAUCUUGCUGGGGAAGCUUUCUGGAAGGCAUUCUUGCCCUUUGCCCCUCUCUAGGGGUAGGAAUGCAUGGUUGGCUUGACUGACAGUGUGCACCCCUCGACUCUCCUAACCUGUCCCCAAUUCAUCCUCAGGCAGACUAGCUGGAGGGAAGGCGGACUCUGGUGAAGAUGUGGGCCGUCAGCAUCGGGCUUCGGUACUUGAAGAGUGGUUAUCCCUGCUGUGUUCGCUUUAUUUAUGACGAAUCAUACAGGGACAUCCAGUUUUUCAGUAUCAAAUACUGCUUUGGAGGGCCUCCCGGACAGCGUCCCGCCUUCAGGGAGGAGGUCCUGGCUUCACUUCCCACCCAAGGUAUGUAUGUGAACCUCCCAUCGCAGUGCACGAGCUUCCUCACGUGCCACACCUGUGACCAGAGUCGAUUCUCUGAGCAAGGUGGCUGCUUCCAAGGCUGUGAUUUUCUGGAAGGGGCGUUGGUGUCUGCACCACAUUUUGGGGGAGGUUGACCAGUGAGAAGCCCAUUCACACAAGACGUCUGUUGCCUGCUCCAAGUGAUGCUCACCCUUGAUAAGACGAGUCCCUGGAGACAUGCUGGUGACGCAGUGUGAUUGUCACCAGCAGGACUGACUGAUACUGAAUGGGUCAUCGUUAUUGCAUUUGUUCUAGGGCAGACUUCUUGAGUGUCGUGUCUUGGCGGGGAAGGGUUUCUGGAAGUAGCCCCAACCUCUGGGGAGACGUGGCAUCCACGUCUUUUCGAGUCUGUGGAGAGUUCGUUGAGCAGUCCGAGCUUUGUUCCGAGGCAUCUUCCUCUGGUCACUCUCCCACAGGAGUCCCGUGUCCUGCCUGGGGCCAGAACUGCUGUUGAGAGGGUUGGCUGCUUUGACCACCAUGGUUUUUUUUAAUAAGACUCUCUUUAAAAAAAAAAAUCCGAUUCUUUUGUUUUUAGCAUAACCGCGUGGUUCAUGGAUGGAUCAAAUAGCAAGGAACGCCUCGGCCAUUCCAUAAACUGAGGGAGCGCACGCUCUACUCCAGGCGAUUCUGGACCUUAGCACAGAGCAGUGCAUGAAUCAAGUCCUUGCUCACAUGGACUUUACAUGCUGGUGGAAGAGACGGUUGAUAACAUGAAUUAGGAAACCUGAUUUUGUCCACUGCUAGAUUUAUGGAGAAUGGGAAGGCGGGGUACAGUGACAGAAAGAGGUAAAAGCAGGUGGACAUUUGUGUUAAAUAUGGGGGUCUGGAAAGCUCUCUCUGAGGAUGGGGAUGGGAAUGCAGUGGAGUGGACCAGAGGAAGAUCUGGGGUAGGAGCACUUCAGAAGGAGGGCAGGGCCCAUGAAGAGGCCCCUGGCAUCUUUAAGAAAAAGCAAGAAGGCCAGUGUGAUUGAACUGAGUGAGCUGUUGGGAGUUGCUGGAUCUGAGCUGGGAGAGGCACGACUCCAGGUUUUAUUCUGAGUGGGAUGGGGGAUAUGAAAGGGUUUUGAGCAGCGGGGGGAUACAUGGUCUGUGUUGGAAGGAUCACUCUGACCACAAGGGUGUUGAUAGAGACUCCACCAAGGGCAGUGACAGGGAACCCACCAGGGGGCUGGCGUGCCUGAGCCAGGCAGUCUCUCCAGGGGCACCUGCAGUGGCAAAAGGGGGCUGUCUCUGGACCUCCCCAGUUCCGUGGGCCCUGCGGGAGCUUGGCCAGCACCUUGAUGUGUCUGAUGGAUAAUUGAGAGUGCUCUGUUGAGAAGUCCAAGCCCUGUUCAGAAACCCCGGGGUCCACACACCACAGAGUGCUCCUGGCCUGCGACAAGUGGCCUCCCUCUUCUCAUUUCUAAACCUUGCGCGUGUGGAUUCAACUCCAGGGAAGGGAGCCUGUGCCAGCACCCCUCCAGGGGAGGUGAGUGGAGGGUUGCCCAGACUCCAGGGUGUUCCUGGGUCAUCUGCCAGCUGCCUCACUAAUGCUCGGUGUCCACUCUGUCCACAGGAUGUGGUUGGCAGCCACGGCCCUUGGAGAUGUGGAAGGGGACCGCUGUCUGUCUUGUCUCUGCUUUGCCGUGGUACUUGAAGAGAAGUUGUUCGUGGUGGAUUCGCUUUACUUAUGACGAAUCAUUCACGGACAACACUUUUUUCAGUACCAAAUGCUACCUCUAAGGACUUCCUGGACACAAUGGCAGCUUCAAGAAAAAUAGUUUUUGUGUCAACCAUGUGGAAAAGCCAAGAAUGGAUGGCGGGCCACGGACAGUGCACUGACCUAGCUGUAAGUCACCUGGCCCGAUUACCCGAGCAUCCCAUGCGCCUGUAGGAGGCCUUUCCGUGGGUCUCGCCACCACUGGGGAAUCAGCUGUGCUUCUGUCACCAGCGUCACCUCACAAGACUUUGAAGAGAGGCUCCCCAGGCCCCAGACCGACUUCCAGAAGAGAUGUUGGUGUCAGCACCGUCCAGGGUGUGUGACUGGUUGACCAGAGGGGCGUGCACUGUGUUCACCCUGUGGGCCACCUAGUCACCAACCCUCAGCAUCACUCCCACCCCAGGAAGACUUUCCAGAGCACCCACCAACUCUGGGGAAGUGGCCAUGGACUUGCCGUGGCUGCUUGGAGCACCGGGAUGACACGUGCUCUUGGGGGUGUGCAUUUAGUUCAAAUGCAAUGAGUCAGCCCUGUAGCUUCUUCACCACUGCCACAGCCUCCUUGAAGCAGUGACUUCUGACGAUAUUGGAUGCCAUGUUAUCUUCUGUUGAGGGACCUGAUGCUGGCCAGCUUUUCUCCCGGGUGUGUGACUGGACCCUUCUUCCCACAGCAUGUGCUGGUGUAUUGGGUCUGUCACCUCGCCCUCUAAUACCCAGCAUCCUGUCUCUCCCUAGGAGGCUCCAUGGAGGGGAUGUGGCUGUGGGAAGCAGCCAUGAUUCUCCUGUCGAGAGCUAGCGAGCUAUGCAAUGGCUUCCUCUCUUGACCGGGAGGACGAACUCCACCCUCACUGCUGGGGAGAAGGCAGCGCCCUCCGUACGCCCUUCAGGUAAGUGCGCCUCGGGUGAGCAUGCACUUAAUGUGGGUGUAUGUCACUCGGCUCGGCCCACUACCCAACGCUGUCCCACCCGUUCCUAACAGGACUCCUGACAGGGGCGGCCACCUCUGCACGACAGGCAAUGGAUUUCUCACCAGUGCUCACUAUGGUACUUGGAGAGAGGCUGGCCGUGAUGAAUUCGAUCCUUCAAAGCGAGUCAUACACGGCUCUCCUCUCUUUUAGUGUCAGAUUCUGCCUCGGAGGGCUUCCUGCGCCAGUGCUGCCUCCCAGGUAGGUUUCUGGAUGUCUGAACCUGAGGCAGGUGCUUUUCCUGAGGAUGCAUGUGACUAACCUACUAACUUGAGAGUCCAGGCUGACCCUAAGACAACUUCCUGGGGCACUCCCAACUUCAGGAAAAUUGAGAGAGGUUGUUGGGAUGCUCUAACUUUUAUUUAAAAGUUAAGAUUGAAAUACGCAUGGCUGACUUCUUUUUUAUUCCUAUCAAAUUCAACCUUGGAGUUAAAUUUUGGGCAUCUAGAAGCAUCUUUUAUUAGCCCUUGGGAUACAGAAGACAACAGAAACAGGACUGUGACCCCUGGUUUACUAACCCAUAGCAGCCCCACACCCUCCAGAGAAUUCCUUUAAGGGGAUCCCAGGUUUGCUAAGGAGGCUGUGCUCAGCCUGCUUUUGCAAAUGAGUGUGGUUUGCCUCAUUUCUAAGGACUCAUGUGCCGCUGACAUCUUUGAAUUAUUAAGUGUUACCUGCAUGGCUAGCUGAGCACAGGAAGUUGUGUUUCUGUGCAUACUCAUCCCAGGUUGGUGAACCUGGGCUUGGCCGGAGAGCCUGGGUUUGAGCCACCUGGUCCACUCAUCCUCAGGAUCCCGUCCACCCUCAGAGGCCACUCCCAAGCUUCUCAGUUUGUGCAGAAGGUGCAGGGAUGCUGUGAGCAGCGCCACCUCAUGGUAUUCGGAGGGAGGUUGUCCGUGGUGAGUUCGCAUUACUUAAUGAUGCCCAAUACACGGUCGACCUCUCUUCGGUAUCAAAUCUCACCAGCUGUCUUCUUGGACCUGAUGCCAAUGUAGGGGACACCAUAUUCAUGUUGGUUCCACACCAGUGCACCUGAACAUGUGUGUGCCCCUGGAACUAAUGGCUAGGUGCUGCUAGCAACCCAAAUCCUCAUCCAGUGCAUUCCUGGGGAGGAAGCAUGUGACCUGUGCUCAAGACCUCCAUGACUGAGGAAGUGGUGGUGCCCAUGAUGCUUCUGGGGUUUUGUAUUUUUUUAAAGAAAAACAAUAGAUAGUUCUCUCCUUUUUCACUAUUAAAUCUUGUCGUAGAGGAAGGACUUCCUAGAUGUGCUGACAAAUUCAGGGAAGGGGCAUAACUAUUUAAGCAUUUGUGGAGACUCACUAAAAGGGCAAUUCACCACAUAUGUUGAUCCAGAGGCCACACAAAUUCAACGAGAGAGGACAGUUGCAUUUUCAAUUUCUUGUUUUUCUUUUCAAAAUGGAUAAUUUUCUACCUUAUUACCAUAUUUAUAAAAAUGACACAUGCUUAUGAUAAAAUUCAAGUGAUGUGGAAACAUCUAAAUGAAAAAGAGGGAAAAUUUCCCAAUUCUCUGUGCACCCAGAAAUAACCAUUAAGGACUUUGGAAAUUUCAUACACCUGUCUGAGCAUACAUGGAAUUAGAAAAGACAGACAUAGAGAGAAAAUAUUUUACAGAUAUGAGAGCUCACUGUACCUAAUCAUUUUAUUAAAACUGCUAACCAUGGGCCAGGUGUGGUGGCUCAUGCCUAUAAUCCCAGCACUUUGGGAGACUGAGUCAGGCAGAUCACAAGGUCAGAAGUUUGUAGACCAGCCUGGCCAAUAUGGUGAAACCCCGUCUCUACUAAAAGCACACCCACAAAAAAAUUAGCUGAGUGUCAUGGUGGGCACCUGUAAUCCCAGCUACUUGGGUGGCUGAGGCAGGAGAAUUGCUUGAACCCAGGGGCUGGAGGUUGCAGUGAGCUGAGAUUGUGCCACUGCGCUUCAGCCUGGGUGACAGAGUGAGACUCCCAUCUCCAAAAAAGAUAUAUAUAUGUAUGAACUAUAAUUUUCCUUGAAUUUCUCUAAAGAACAAGCUAAAGGAGAUUGAAAUGAUUGAUAUAUGUUUCUUGCUUUACCACCAGAUGUAGCAACUCCUGAAAGAUCCCUAUAAAAUUAAGAAAAAUGAGUGUGUAAAAAUUAAGUGAUUGGGAUUGUUAUGUUUUUUAACUAUUUCAAUUUCAACCCUAGUUCAGAAAGAUAAAGAAGUCAGCAUUCUUAUCACUUACUACCUCUUGCUUUUUUCAGUUAUACAUUUUAGUUUUACGGUAUAAAUAUCUGCAAUUUAUCUAGAUCUAUAAUUCUUGCAGGUGUUUAGCCAUAGUUCUAUGUUUAAGUGAAUUCAUUUCUGACCACAGGUUUUUUGUUUGUUUUUUAAACUGAGGUUUCUCCAUUCUUUAGUUUUUAACUUUAAUUUAUCUCUCUAUGGAAUUGUCUUAUGGUUUCUGUGAGAAUAGCUCAUAGACACUACUCUUGAGUUAUGUGCAUUUGAGAAUAUGUAUCUCUUCCUUUUAUACACAAGGGACAGCUUAGCUAGGUAUAAAAGUCUCAGCCUACUUGGUUUUUCUCAGAAAUUUAUUAGAUAUUGUCCACUGUCUUUUGCACUGAGGUUUUCACUAGCUGUUUUAAUGUGGUUUCUCCAUGUAGCCUUUACAGCCCCUGCCAGGCUGAACUAUUUCAUCUAAUGAUCUUCACAAACCUUUUUGGAAAGACUUUGGGGUACUAUACUCCAUGAGGUCUUUCAGCUCUGAGAAUGUCUGACCAUUGCUUUUACAUCUUUUCUCAUCUGUCAAUUUUUUUUUUCAUUCUGUUCUAUUUGGCCUUUAUGAUUUCAAAUUCUUUUUAAUUUAUUUAGUCACUUUAAAGAUAUUUAUUGUGUACUUUCUCUCAGCUUUAAAGAUACAAGCCCCUUUCUUUGUUGAAUUUAUUGACUCUCAUGAUGGUGCUUUUCUUCAUGGUUUUUGUAACUUUGUGUUGUGAGGUUACAUCAGUUGAGCACUAAGGUGUUUUUGUUUUGUUUUAAUCUCUAGGCACAUGAGUUUGCAUUUGGUGCUGCCUAGCACCCCAACAAAUUUAUCAGUUGGUACCACUUUUCAACUCAUUUUGUUGGCUUAAGGAGUCCCAGAUGUAUGGCUGACAUAAAUCCUCAUCAUAUCUUUGUCUAGAGCUUUGUUAUCUCACAGGAGACCUCAUUCUAUCCACCUCCUAGAAGUGACAAACCCUCUCAUCAUUCCUAGCCAUUAUAAAAUGUUCUGGUUCCCUUUCCAUUCCUGGAUCGACCUCUCCUGGACCCAAAGUUGUGUCUUUUCAUCCUGCUUAUACUUGAAGUUGACUACAGACCCUAGCAGCCUUUAGCCAGCACAGCACCCCCUAGGUUCCUCAGUAGCAGGUUGCACACAUGUUGCUCUGAACUGAUUCUUUUCAUUAACACCUGAGGAUUUUGCCUUGCAGCUGCAUGUUUAUUUGGCAAUUGAUUUUGGUCGUGGUUGCAUUUUAUCCAAUACUUCUCAACAUCUGUCCAAGAGAGGGUUCCCUAUCAGCUCUUGUUGCUGGGGUGGAGCCUUUGAGAUGAAUGAUCGGUAAACUUGGCAUGACAUUCUUGGCCCCUAGUUCCUUCCCUCAGAACUUUGUAAACUUUGCUCCACUGGUUUCUGGUGUUAAACCACUGCUGUGGACAAGUGUGUGGACAGCUGCUUUCCCCUUGGAUGGGUAAAUUAUUUUUUUUCUGCUUAGAUUUCCUAAUUCUUUCUUUAGUCUUGAAUGUUGGUGACUUUACCAGUCACUAUUUUUAUUCAUUAGUUUUUCUGAAUCAUAUUAUGCCUUCUUGAUGAGUAGAUUUAAUUGUUCCUUUGUUUCAAGGAUUUCCUCUAUUUUUUGAGCACUUUUCUACUCCAGGUGUUGGUCUUUUUUUUUUUGUUGAAAUAAUCUGCUUUGUUCAUUUCAUGAUGCAUUGAAGGAGCAGAAAGUCUGUCAUCUGGCCCCCUUGCUGCCAUCUCUGUCUGCAAGUCAGCCUGUUGUCAUUUGCACUGUGCAUUUGUCUAUUUAAAACAAUCCUACCCAGAUACUUCCUCCUCGGUGUCAGCUUCCACCCUGGCAGGAUGCCUCAUUGGCAAUGCCCACUUCUGAGGUGGUCAUGGGAGUCAGCACCACUGGCCAGGUAUGUGAAUUUGCUGUUAGCAAUGGAAGAUUUUUAGAAACCAUAUACACUGUAUCAUUAAUCUCAAGCAUGCAAUCUAUCCUUAGGAAGGUUCCUGGACAUUAUGCCCACCUUUGGGGAUGAGGCCAUGAUUCUGAGGUCAGUGCCAUGACAUAGUCUAAUACAGUUUGCAUUUAAUGCUGUUUCUUUAUGAUCAAUAUUGUAAAGUCAAUCUCUUUGUCGUGGACUCAGCUUUGGAGGGCUUCCUGGAAACAAGGCCUGUGUAAGGAAAGGAUCGUUACUGUCAGCCUUGAUGCUAAUGUGAGAUGAGGGAAUGUGUCCUGCUACUAUCAGAAUGCUGAGUUUCUGUGCACUUGGCCCCUCCACCGUCCGGCUCCCUGACAGUGCUGCUUAGAUAUGCACCCACCUCCACAAAGGUGUUGAGGUCCAGUUGGCUGCAGGGUGCGGGAUGGAAUGGUUGACUACGGGACGUGUGCUUUCUUCUCAACCCUCUUGCAGUCAGUCUGCUAACCCUCAAUGUUCCCUGUCUCCUAGGGGGACUUCCUGGAGGAGGCCAGCUUUGGAGAAGAGACACUGACACCGAGUCUGUGCUAGCAUGUGGUACUUGAAGAUAGGUUAUCCGUGUUGCCUUCGCUUUACUUGUGACGAAUCAUACGCGGUUGACCUAUUUUCCAGUGCCAAAUCCUGCCUUGGAGGGCUUCCUGGAGCGGAGUCACACUUCAGGGCGUGGCCUUGGUGUCAGCUCCUCUCCAGGGUAAGCAAAGGGACCGUUGACCAUAGCUGACCCAGCAGAGAAUGUGCUUUCCUAAGGCUGCGUGCCCCGGCCCUAACCCUGUGUGUGUCUCAUCCUUGGGGGGCUGGGGGGUGGUUCUAGAGAUGGUGCCAGCUUUGGGGAAGAAGUGAGAAGGGGGGCUUUUUCUAUCUGAGCUACUCUGUGUUCCUGGCGGAGAGGUCUUCCAUGAUGUAUCCAACUUAUUUUGUGACCAAUCCUACACAGUGGACCCUUUCUAAGGCAUUAAUUCUAGCCUUAAAGCAUCCUCGGGUGGUGCCGAGUUUAGGAGCCAGAACUGGUGUCUGAACACCUGAACGGAUGGCAAAGCUGACAGCGUGCACAUGCCCCUCGGCGGGUCGUGCACCUGCAGGCAUCCUGCUUGCUCGUCCUGAUGGUUUCCUCAGAAGUGCCAGCAGUCCCCUUGUCGGCUCACUGUGUGCUUGACAAGAUGCUGUCCUGCUCUCUUCCCUGCUGCCCUCUCUUCACAUAUCACAGAUGGUGCUCUGCAGACGAUCUGCUGUGGCACGUCCCUUCCUGAAUGGCUUCCUGCGAGAGGUGCUAAUUGCAAGUACGGGAUGCAGUACGGCCCGGGCUGCAGAGCAUGUUUCAGGGGUGGCGUGUAACCGCCUUCCUGACUCGCGGUAACCCGCCCGCCCUCAGGGCUGCUACUGGGAUGCACUGGAAGCGAGCGCCCAAGUCAGGUACUCGAAUGGAGGUUGUCCAUGGUGUGUUCAUUUUAUUUAUGAUGAGUAUUACAUGGCCAAUCUCCUUUCGGUACUAAAUUCUUCUUGGGAAACGUCACAGCCGGCACCUGAGCAGGGUAAGGAAGCGGGUCACCUCCACGCGGCAAGCGCUCUCUGUGUGACUUACAUCCCUUGGCACACGUCCUGGCCAUCAUUAGGAGGAAUUCCCAGAAUUGAUGCUGACAUUUUAGGUGACACCGUGGUCUUUUAGUCUCUUCCUUGAAGACUCGUUAGUGAAUAAACCACAUUUAGUCAACGUUUUUAGGUAGGGCGGCACAUUUUAGGGAAAGGAACUCCUUGCUGAAUGGAAGGCAUCCACGUUACCCACUCAAAUAGCCUAACCUUUGGGUGACCUUUGGGAAGCGGCAGGUGGAGGGUUUCCUCGGCAGUGAGAAUGUUGCUGUUUAAAGACACGUUUCCGUGGCACGACUCGGUUAUUCUGAGUGCAAGACGAGAAUUGUUCAUGGCAUUCAUUACUACCUUAGGUUGCCAGCUGUGCGCCCUGGGCCAGCCCCUUCACCUGUCAGCUCUCUGGGCCUCAGCUUCUUCCUCUGUAAAGCAGGGUUAACGGCGGGGGGGGGGGGGUGGAACCGUGCUCCAUGAGAAGCAACUAGACAGCGUCUGGCAGGUAGCAGAGCAGGAUAAGCAUUGUUUCUGAGGAUGGUCAUUAUAUGAAUCUUACGUCAUCUUCACUCAUUGUCCUCUCCCGGUAGAAUGGAAGCUCCCUGAGGGCAGAGUCCUUGUCUGUCUUGCCUGGCGCUGUGUCCCCAGGUGUGCACAGCAGGUGUGAUGCCGAAUGAAUGAAUGAAUGGAUGGCAGUGUGACCGGUUUCCUUGGUUGAACUCUCUUUGAGGCCUCCUGGAAUGGAGUACAUGGAAGACAGUCACCUGAACCUAUGCUCUCCUUGUGACACAGCCCCACCCACCCUCUGAGGAUGCUGCACUGGAAGAGGAGUUACCAGCCUUCAGGUCGGGUCCUCCUCCAACCCUCUGAAGGCUGGACUGACCAUGGUCACGUGAUUUAUCAGCAGCACCCCCCUUUCUCUGUGUGAAAUCCCACUGUAGGGACUUCCAGAGGAGAUACCAGCCCUGGAGCUGAACCUGGGUGUCCCUGCUUCUUUAGGGUAAGUGACCAGCGGCUGGCCCGAGCCUGGGCAGACCCACGAUACAAGUGCGUUUGGCCUCGCCCACGCUGCUUGCUCCAGGGCUAUAGGGGCUGGUCCCUGACCAACCGUGUUCGGAUCGCCUGGGGGGCUCCUUAGAGGUAGUGCCAGUCAAGAGGGAAAGAGAGAGAGAGCAAGAGGGGAGAGAGUGAGCCAGCGAGCAUGCAGCUGGAGUCAGCAGGGAGGCCGCGGAGGCAAUGCCACUUUGGUGAAGAGGCAUCUUGGUGUUCUUGCCCGUGCUGACGUUUGACCCUUGAGCAGAGGUUGCCCUUGGUGAAUUCGCUUUAUUUAUGUUGAAUCACACAAAGGCAACUUUUGUUUGAGUAUCAAAUCCUGCUUGGGAUGGCUUCCGGGACCCAGCGGCAAGCUCAGGGGCAUCUACACCCCUCCCGUGAGCAAGAAUGGAGGGGGUAGACGUGGGUGGUCUGCCCUCUGCGGUGGAUGAGAACAGAUGUCCAUCAGAGAACACAAGCUUCAUUCAUGAUGGGGGCGGGGCCCCACGGCCCAGGGAGGAUGCUUCCCAUCCACAGGGCUUGAGGAUGGUCAGCUUCAGCUCUUACCCUGGACCCUCUCUCUUUACAUCACCAUUUUAGCUGUGUUAAUCCCAAAGACAUUUCAACGGCACCAGUUUUUUUCGAAAGAUAUUUGACCUUGUAGAUAAACAAAGAGCUCACACUUGACAGUGUCUGUGACAAGGCAGCAGCCCCAGACCUCCGUCGGGCUCACAAGCACUGCGUUUUUUUCCAUGCCUUUCCUCAUCUCUAUUUUUCUCUUUCUAUCCCCCAACCAAAUAUUGUUCCCAGUUUUCUCCUGGGUUAUGAAACAAACAGAGGCGAUCAGGAUCUCAUCCCAUUUGUAUUAAAUAAUAGUGAUAAAAAUAAUCAACACAAAAUAAAAUGAAAAACAGCUGAAACAGCACAGUGCUAAAUGUGUUCAAUUCACUACAAAUUGGCAGAAGAAUCCAGUUUUCUUGACAACAUUGCGGCUGCGACAUUUGACCUGGGGAAACAGAAAGCGACGUGGCAGCCACGGGAGGAAAUUCACGCGGGCGGCAGCAGCAAUCAACAGGAGUAUUUGAUACAGACGAGGGUACACUGAGGCAACCCAGUCUUCAUUCAGAUUUUCAAAUGGAAAAGAAUUGAUCCUAAUGAAAAUGAUUUGGGGAAAAUAACAAGGGAAAUAAAAGAAAUGAAAACAGCUCAGCAGCACAGUCGAAGCUAAACAGGGAAUUGGAUUAGUGUCAUGGAAUUCGCUCUGAAAAACACGUUUCCAUGAAAAUCAACGUUGGUAUAGUUCUGGUGAAGAUGAUUGAAUUUGUGUGUGUUCACAGUGGAGUGGGUGGGGUCAGGAGGAACCUAGGGUCAAAAAAUGGGAUACAGUCCCCCUUUAUGCAGGUGACCUUUUUUUGGUGCCCCCAAACCUUUCCGAGAGCCUCCUGGAGAGGCAUGCUGACUUCAAGCACGACAUGCUGGCUGGUAAGGCGUCCCCCCGGGGAUCUGGGUGCACACUGUCUCCAGAGCAUUCACUGCGUUAGGGACAUGCCUCACCUGGUCCAGUCUCUCCCGGUGUCCCUCCAUUCCCACGGAGGGUUCUAGGCGGGAUGCUGACUCUGGAGGGAAGCAGAAGGACCACUUGGUGGGGCUGGGUCUUUCAGGACAGUCACUUCUGUGAACCUAGAAAGUCUGAGACAGCUCUCCCUUAAUUUAGAAUGUUUAUUUUGCCAAGGUUGAGGCUACACCCGUGACAUGGAAGUCUUGUGGUCAAGGGACAGCUUGGUUUUAUACAUUUUAGGGAGACAUGAGGCAUCAUUCCGUGUAUGUACGAAGUCCCUUGGUUUGGUCUGCAAAGGUGGGACAAGUUGAAGGAAAGGCAGAAGGAGGGAGGGGGCUUCCGGGCCGCAGCGAGUCAGCGUCCCGCCUAGAACCCUCCGUGGGAAUGGAGGGACACCGGGAGAGACUGGAUCAGGUGAGGCAUGUCCCUAACGCAGUGAAUGCUCUGGAGACAAUGUGCACAUCCUAUGGGACAAAUGAUCCCAUCCUAUGGUGUUUCUGAUGAGCCUUUCCAAAGGAAGCAAAUCAGAUCUACAGCUAUCUCAGUGUGCAGAGGAGUGACUGAGUGCAAUGAGAGGCUGCUUUAUCCUAAGCAGUUUCCAGCUUGACUUUUCCUUAGUGAUUUUUGGGGAUCCAAGAUACUUCUCUUUGACACGUCCAAGGUGACUGCUUGGAAGCCAGGAACAUUCCGGGGUUUAGUCCUUCCUCAGACUCUGCCGUGGCCACCUCUCAUGGCUCCAGACUGGCCCCAAGGACAUGCCUUUCCUUGGUGCUGUAUGUCACUGGGUCACGGUGGCUGAGCCUUGUGUGGGAAGUCAUUCCGGAGGUGAUGUUUCCAAGGUUGAAACCCUCGCCGGGGAUGUGGAAAGGGCUUGUUUGCUGGCGUGCUUUGUUUGUGACCAGCAUUGCACAUGGGUCUCUUUUCAGAUCAAAACCUACCUGGAGAAUUUCUGGAAGCCGCAGCACCCUCAGGAGGUAGCCAGCAGCCGGAGCCCUCUCCAGGUGGCUGCUCUGCCUGGAUAAACCCAUCUUGACAGUCUCAGUCCUUGCCUUGCCACCAUCUCCUCUGAUCUCCUUUCCUGCUUCAAAAGACUCCAGACCCGUCCCGGUUCUCGGAGAAGACUGACUCCGCCUACAACCCAGCGGGCACAUCUUGUGCCAAGAUUGUUUACAUUCUGGUCCUGGGAGCCACGGGUCAUGGCCUGGUCCUCACACAGACCCACUCCUCAGCAGCGCCCAUCUGCGGCUUCUCCCACCUCACCAGGGAAGAAGGAGAGCCCUGGGGACAUGGAGAAGCCCCCAGCUCUCCCCGCCUCUUACAGAACCUCCACUGAGUCCCUGGAGGCACAUCGGUCAGCAGGGCAGGAGCAGCCUUUGCCGUGGCAUGGGGCGGGCUGUGCUGGGGAUGAGUGCCGAGUGGCUGUGGACUAAGUGGAGGAGCAGAUGCCCCUACCCUUCUCCCAGCUGGACGGCGGGACCGGGCAGGAACAGUGGGAUUCCUGCUCUUCGUUUUCAGACACUUGCUGUCAAGCAAUUUGAAUAAUAAAUACACAUUAUAAAGAUGUAAA
This is a non-coding RNA of Callithrix jacchus (white-tufted-ear marmoset), 33025 nucleotides long. NCBI's taxonomy places the organism in Eukaryota, Metazoa, Chordata, Mammalia, Primates, Cebidae. The record is from RefSeq and is a predicted model, not a curated record.